AUUGAACGCUGGCGGCAUGCUUUACACAUGCAAGUCGAACGGUAACAGGCCUUCGGGUGCUGACGAGUGGCGCACGGGUGAGUAAUGCAUCGGAACGUACCCAGAGGUGGGGGAUAACGCAGCGAAAGCUGUGCUAAUACCGCAUGUGAUCUGAGGAUGAAAGCGGGGGACCGAGCAGCAAUGUUUGGCCUCGCGCCUUUGGAGCGGCCGAUGUCGGAUUAGCUAGUUGGUGGGGUAAAGGCCUACCAAGGCGACGAUCCGUAGCUGGUCUGAGAGGACGACCAGCCACACUGGGACUGAGACACGGCCCAGACUCCUACGGGAGGCAGCAGUGGGGAAUUUUGGACAAUGGGCGCAAGCCUGAUCCAGCAAUGCCGCGUGCGGGAAGAAGGCCUUCGGGUUGUAAACCGCUUUUGGCAGGAACGAAACGGUGUCGGCUAAUACCGGGCGCUAAUGACGGUACCUGCAGAAUAAGCACCGGCUAACUACGUG
This 492-nucleotide ribosomal RNA is filed under the name uncultured bacterium. Its description in RNAcentral is "partial 16S ribosomal RNA". It matches the Rfam family "Bacterial small subunit ribosomal RNA", at positions 29 to 507 of the family's 1533-position model. The record is from RNAcentral.